Molecule: RNA transcript, 2516 nt
Organism: Leptopilina heterotoma
Lineage: Eukaryota; Metazoa; Arthropoda; Insecta; Hymenoptera; Figitidae
Gene name: DNA primase large subunit-like
Exons: 9
Source: RefSeq, a predicted model, not a curated record
UGACAGUUAACCGAUUUUUUCUUUAAGCUUUACGGUUUCUACGGUUUUUACUAAUUUGUUUGAUUUCGUUUCCGAUUAUCUCUAAUUUUAGUAGUGAAAAAAAUGUGUUAUCUCACAAGAAAUCGAAAGAAUUCGUAAACAAGAACUUUCCUUUUAUUGAAAAUUUAUGAAAUUUAUCAUCAAACUAAAAGUAAGGUUAAGAUCGUUAAAAUGAAAUAAAAAAUGAUAAAUUAAUAUCUACAAAACAAAAGAUUAAAAAUGGAAGAAGAAAUGGAAACAGAUUCGUCCGAUGACUUCACGGAUGAAGAAAUUGACAUUGCGGCCGUCGAUGAGGAAUUAAAUAAAGCAAUAAUUGGCGGUAUGAUUGAUAUGGAAAUGGAUGUAACAAACGAUGAGAGUCUAUUUGAAUCUGAAUUGAUGAAAAAUUACCCCCACGAUUUGCAAAUGUAUCGAAAUUCUCUAAUUGGAAAAAUAACACUCGACGAAUUGGAGAAUUUGGGACUUGAGAGACUUCAAGUUCUCAGAAUAAUUGAUACACUCAAGAAGGAAUCGCAAAUAAAGAAAGAAGACUUCAAAGAAUGCUUACUGGGAACAUUGCGAAAUAAAGGAUAUGAUUCUUACGUUAAACUGAUAACGAGUCCUGGCUGCGAUUCAAAUACGCCAUUGGAUCUUGAAAUAAGAAGAAGAGAUCAUGUUUCUCAUUUUAUUCUCAAAGUUGCUUUAUGCAGAAAAACGAAAAUCUACCAUUGGUUCAUUAAAAUGGAGAUAAAUUUAUUUAAUACAAGAUUCAGAUCUUUAAAUGAAAAUGGAAUGGAGAAAUUUUUAAUUUACAAUGAUUUCAUUUUUCCAAUUCUUUCCGAGGAAGAAAAAAAUCAGAAUAGAGACAAUUUGCUGGCAUUAUAUGAAAAUAUCGAUUUCGAUCAGACAGUUUUUUAUAAAGUUCCCUAUUUAAAAGUAAGAUAUUUAGUUCAAUGUCGAAAUGUUCUUUUAAAACGCGGUAUUGUUUUUCUUCCAAUUACGGAAAUUAUUCACGUCGCUUCGCAAGCUUUUGGCGAUUCAUUGACAAGAGAACGAGAGCAAUAUCGUUACGUGGCGAAAGAAGAUUCCAGAUUGGUACCAAUUUUAAAAAAGUUUUUCAUUGUAUCACAAAGUGCAUUGCCCUGCGCGAUGAAUUCCAUAGAUUUAAAAAAUCUAGACGAAAUAUCAGAGAAAUCGUUUCCAUUGUGUAUGAGGACAAUGCACGAGGCUUUACGAAAAGAUCAUCAUUUAAAAAAUGACGGACGCUUUCAAUAUGGAAUAUUUUUGAAAAUAAUUGGUCUCAGCUUUGAUUCUGCUGUUGAUUUUUGGAAGGAGGAAUUCCUAAAGAAAAUGCCCCUCACUCAAUUCAAUCAAGAAUAUCUCUACAAUAUUAGAUAUAUUUACGGUCUCGUGGGGCAAAAGGCGAAUUAUCAAACCUACAGUUGUGCGUCUGUAAUUAAAUCCAGAGUCAGUUAUGGACAGUAUCAUGGUUGUCCAUACAAAAAUAUGACUCCAAGUACACUUAAUUUGAAAUUGAAAAAUCUUGGUGUCAGUGAUCAAGGAUUAGUGGAAAUCGAGGAUCUUGUUACAAACGAACAAUACAAGGCAGCCUGCACCAAGUGCUUCUCCCAAAUGCAUAAAGUGCAAUUGACCAAUGCGAUUGAAUCGCCUGUGGAAUAUUAUAAUCACAGUAAUAAUGAAAUUAUCCGGAAAAAACGUAUUAAAAUUAAAAUGGACCAAAGUAUUAUCGAACAAACUCAAGAGAAUAAAGACGCUUCACUUUUGGAUUCAACUAACAAAAAUACGAAAGAACAAACGGAAGUGAAUAUAGAAAAUUCCUCUUCAAUUCCGGAAGUUCCACUAAAUGCCGACUGAUAAGCAACACUUAUAUGAAGCACGCACAUUGGCACGAUGAAAAAGCGACUAACUAAACAAUGCCUUGAAUUUGAAUAUUGACAGGAAGCUCAACUCCAUAUUAGCAUUUAUUACAAGUGCGGUCACUAAAAUAUUCAAAUUUGAAGAAAGAAAAAAUACAAAAUAUGAAAAAUUAUUAUUUUUUUAAAGAGACAGAGAAAGAGAGGGAGAGAGAGAGAAAAAAAAAAAUCAAAAUUAUACAAGAGAUCCUGCGGUUGUGCGAGCAAUUACGAACGUAUACUGAGACCGCAUUCAGUGUAAAGCGCUUGUAAACCAAGGACGUGAUCAUUCCAGGGGCAAUCGCAAUUUCACGCGAGUUCCACCAUAUGUAUAAUCAUUAUUAAAACUGAACGCUUUUCUCCACGUGACCCACCACGUGGUGACGAGACACCCCUCGUCUUCAAUAUAUGCAAAAUAUAUAUCUAUAUAUUUAUCACGAAUCAUUUAUACGAAAAUUACUCAGAGAACAUCACUCCACUUUUGUGAAUCAUGUCACAUACAGUCAGUCAAUGUAUUUUCAUUUUUCAUUUUUGCGUCACUUCAUUUUCAUUUUUUCUAAAAAUAUAUUUUAAUAGAUAACGAAA